Long non-coding RNA from Lynx canadensis (Canada lynx), 452 nucleotides. RefSeq lists it as uncharacterized. Lineage: Eukaryota; Metazoa; Chordata; Mammalia; Carnivora; Felidae. The record is from RefSeq and is a predicted model, not a curated record. The transcript has 2 exons.
GGGAAGACGGAGAUCCUGGAGCUCCCACUUAAUGGACCACCAGCAAGACAUGGGCAGGGGAAGCCGCAGGAGGCUGGGGACGGAAUGUGAGGAGGCCUUAGUCACUGGUGCACAUGUGUCCUCACUGACAAGCAAUGGCCAAGGAAACUGCAGUCUCUCCAACAGCUGAAUCACGAAAUCUGAUGUAAUGAGCAAGAAUGGAGAUGACAUGGACCACAUUCUCACCUCCUGGCCUUCAAACUGUCUUGCAUCUUCCUGAAACCUUAUUGCCCAUCCCACCCCAAACCCAAUCUGGCUAAAACUCUCAUUCAUCCUUCAGCCUUCAAAUCAGAAGUCCCUUCUUCUGGGAAGCCUUCCCCAUCUGUCAAGUUUGGGUUAGAUGCCCCUGCUACAUGAUUCUAUCCUACCCAGUAUGUCCCCAGACCAAGGUAUUUAUUAAAAUAUUGCAAAUA